GAGACCGGCGCACGGGUGCGUAACGCGUAUGCAAUCUACCUUUUACAGAGGGAUAGCCCAGAGAAAUUUGGAUUAAUACCUCAUAGUAUAGCAGUUUGGCAUGAAACCACUAUUAAAGUCACAACGGUAAAAGAUGAGCAUGCGUCCCAUUAGCUAGUUGGUAAGGUAACGGCUUACCAAGGCUACGAUGGGUAGGGGUCCUGAGAGGGAGAUCCCCCACACUGGUACUGAGACACGGACCAGACUCCUACGGGAGGCAGCAGUGAGGAAUAUUGGACAAUGGGCGCAAGCCUGAUCCAGCCAUGCCGCGUGCAGGAUGACGGUCCUAUGGAUUGUAAACUGCUUUUAUACGAGAAGAAACACUCCAACGUGUUGGAGCUUGACGGUAUCGUAAGAAUAAGGAUCGGCUAACUCCGUGCCAGCAGCCGCGGUAAUACGGAGGAUCCAAGCGUUAUCCGGAAUCAUUGGGUUUAAAGGGUCCGUAGGCGGUUUAAUAAGUCAGUGGUGAAAGCCCAUCGCUCAACGGUGGAACGGCCAUUGAUACUGUUAGACUUGAAUUAUUAGGAAGUAACUAGAAUAUGUAGUGUAGCGGUGAAAUGCUUAGAGAUUACAUGGAAUACCAAUUGCGAAGGCAGGUUACUACUAAUGGAUUGACGCUGAUGGACGAAAGCGUGGGUAGCGAACAGGAUUAGAUACCCUGGUAGUCCACGCCGUAAACGAUGGAUACUAGCUGUUGGAAGCAAUUUCAGUGGCUAAGCGAAAGUGAUAAGUAUCCCACCUGGGGAGUACGUUCGCAAGAAUGAAACUCAAAGGAAUUGACGGGGGCCCGCACAAGCGGUGGAGCAUGUGGUUUAAUUCGAUGAUACGCGAGGAACCUUACCAAGGCUUAAAUGUAGAUUGACCGGUUUGGAAACAGAUCUUUCGCAAGACAAUUUACAAGGUGCUGCAUGGUUGUCGUCAGCUCGUGCCGUGAGGUGUCAGGUUAAGUCCUAUAACGAGCGCAACCCCUGUUGUUAGUUGCCAGCGAGUCAAGUCGGGAACUCUAACAAGACUGCCAGUGCAAACUGUGAGGAAGGUGGGGAUGACGUCAAAUCAUCACGGCCCUUACGCCUUGGGCUACACACGUGCUACAAUGGCCGGUACAGAGAGCAGCCACUGGGCGACCAGGAGCGAAUCUAUAACACACCGGUCACAGUUCGGAUC
This 1203-nucleotide ribosomal RNA is filed under the name Flavobacterium sp. ICM 1057. RNAcentral describes it as "bacterial SSU rRNA". It matches the Rfam family "Bacterial small subunit ribosomal RNA", at positions 91 to 1299 of the family's 1533-position model. Lineage: Bacteria; Pseudomonadati; Bacteroidota; Flavobacteriia; Flavobacteriales; Flavobacteriaceae. The record is from RNAcentral.